GCCCAGAUGCAAUUAAUAUGCAAUACAUCAACGACCGUCUAUGUCGUUGAAUAAGUUAAAGUGAGCUAAAAUAGAACAAAACAAUAUAUAGAACAAAACAAGCUUACUUACCUUUUAUAGCUAUUACAUCUACAUUUUGCUGCUUUAAUAUAACAUCGUCGCCUAUUAGAGUAUUACCUCAUAUUGAAUAGAAGAGCAGGAAGCAAACAUUUAUUCAGAACGAGGCAGUGGUUAACUGCUCUUCUUUCAAUUGUACAUCCAAGUAAUUUAAGUGUAAUACAAAAUCGCUCCUGUACUUAUCGUCUUGACUUAACAUGAUAAAAAAAGAUUCCAGUACAAC
This 340-nucleotide long non-coding RNA is filed under the name Mytilus galloprovincialis (Mediterranean mussel). The record is from RNAcentral. Lineage: Eukaryota; Metazoa; Mollusca; Bivalvia; Mytilida; Mytilidae.